This 883-nucleotide ribosomal RNA is filed under the name uncultured bacterium. Its description in RNAcentral is "bacterial SSU rRNA". It matches the Rfam family "Bacterial small subunit ribosomal RNA", at positions 56 to 981 of the family's 1533-position model. The record is from RNAcentral.
UGCNAGUCGANCGGGAAUCUUCGGAUUCUAGUGGCGGACGGGUGAGUAACGCGUAAGAAUCUAACUUCAGGACGGGGACAACAGUUGGAAACGACUGCUAAUACCCGAUGUGCCGAAAGGUGAAACCUAAUUGGCCUGAAGAAGAGCUUGCGUCUGAUUAGCUAGUUGGUGGGGUAAAGGCCUACCAAGGCGAUGAUCAGUAGCUGGUCUGAGAGGAUGAGCAGCCACACUGGGACUGAGACACGGCCCAGACUCCUACGGGAGGCAGCAGUGGGGAAUUUUCCGCAAUGGGCGAAAGCCUGACGGAGCAACGCCGCGUGAGGGAGGAAGGUCUUUGGAUUGUAAACCUCUUUUCUCAAGGAAGAAGUUCUGACGGUACUUGAGGAAUCAGCCUCGGCUAACUCCGUGCCAGCAGCCGCGGUAAUACGGGGGAGGCAAGCGUUAUCCGGAAUUAUUGGGCGUAAAGCGUCCGCAGGUGGUCAGCCAAGUCUGCCGUCAAAUCAGGUUGCUUAACGACCUAAAGGCGGUGGAAACUGGCAGACUAGAGAGCAGUAGGGGUAGCAGGAAUUCCCAGUGUAGCGGUGAAAUGCGUAGAGAUUGGGAAGAACAUCGGUGGCGAAAGCGUGCUACUGGGCUGUAUCUGACACUCAGGGACGAAAGCUAGGGGAGCGAAAGGGAUUAGAUACCCCUGUAGUCCUAGCCGUAAACGAUGGAUACUAGGCGUGGCUUGUAUCGACCCGAGCCGUGCCGAAGCUAACGCGUUAAGUAUCCCGCCUGGGGAGUACGCACGCAAGUGUGAAACUCAAAGGAAUUGACGGGGGCCCGCACAAGCGGNGGAGUAUGUGGUUUAAUUCGAUGCAACGCGAAGAACCUUACCAAGACU